RNAcentral lists this long non-coding RNA (1452 nucleotides) under Triticum aestivum (bread wheat). Its description in RNAcentral is "long non-coding RNA (TAES_LNC016991)". Lineage: Eukaryota; Viridiplantae; Streptophyta; Magnoliopsida; Poales; Poaceae. The record is from RNAcentral.
GAUGGGGCGGUGGCGUGCAAGCAUCGUGGUCAUGGAUGUGGAAAAGGAGCGUGGACGGGAUGGAGAAGUCAGCAGCAGGGGUUUCCGCCGCCGGCCUUGUUGUGUAGUACAAGGGCGUGGUGGUCGGAUCCAUGGUGGCUGGGGUCGGACUACAGGGAUGCAACGUGCAAGCUUCGCUAUGGUGGCGGAUUGGUAGUUGAUCUGCUAGGGGAAGGUAGAGCAUUAGCCCCAGGUGCUUUUCGCAUGGUUUUUGCUGAUUUUAAGAGGAGGAAUUGCUAUGUGUAGUUAGUCUGUUUUUUUACAACUAGGGCCCUGUUCCUGUGCAAUUUAUCAUAGCCACUAGCCAAAUUUUUAAGUCAGUUUUUUGUUGUUAGUUCUGUGCAAGUAGGGGCGCUUCCCUGUGCAACUAGGAUCCCUUCCUAUGCAAUCUAUUACAUCUGGUAGCCAAAUUUUGUAAGCAAACUAGGCAAAAUAAAUUUUAUUCUCUGAAUAUCAGUUUUUUUAUGUUAGUUCUCUGCAACUAGGGGUUCCUUAGCAAUCUAUCAUAUCUUUGUAGCCCAAUUUGUAAGCAAACUACGCAAAUAAUUCUCGUUCUCUGUAUAUCAGUUUUUGGUGUCAGUUCUGUGCAACUUGAGGAGCAUUCCUGUGCAAUCUAUCCCAAAUUUGUAAGCAAACUAGGCAACUAAUUUUAUUUUAGUUCACUGGGGUCUGGGAUCCUGCGCAACUAGGGAUACAUUACUGUGCAACCAGAGGAAAUGUGCUUGAUAGUGAAACAGAGGUUCAUAUUUUCUUUUUCUUUUAUCCUAUGGCCAUUUAUUUAUACUCUUUUCUUUUACCCUCUUUGUAGUUCAAUAUUUUUUAUUCAUUGUAGGGUUCUCCAAAUAGGACCUCUUGGCGGAAUUCAAAACGGGCGGCUAAGCGACAACCACGUGGCGCUGAUAAUGACGGGGAUGGAGAGGAUGAUGAUGUGUCCUAAAGAGUAUAUAAAUGAGUUGGCAUCCUCAGUCUUUUCUAGUUGCACAAGAGUACCUGAUAAUUGGCAUCCUCAGUAUUUCUAGUUGCACAAUACCAUCCAACUAGUUGACAUCCUAGUAUUUUUGUAGCUGCAUUGACACCCUCAGGUGAAUGUGCAAUUUUUUGAUUUGGUCAUGCAAGUGCUGAAUAGUUCUUUUCCCAAGAGUAUCUAAUUAAUUGGCAUCCUCAAGAUUUAUAGUUGCACACGAGUAUUCAAUUAGUUGGCGUCCUUAGCAUUUCUACUUGCACAAACAAUAUCCUACUAAUUGACAUCCUCAGCCACAAGAAAACUAUUUUUUAGUCCCAUCUUCAAAUUUUUGAGGGUUGCCCAAGAGUAUCUAAUGAUUUGGCACCCUCAGCCUUUCUAGUUGCACAGGAGUAUUUAAUUAGUUGGCAUCCUGAGCAUUUUCUAGUUACACAAUAGCAUCUAACUAGUUG